UACGUAGGGUGCAAGCGUUAAUCGGAAUUACUGGGCGUAAAGCGUACGCAGGCGGCUUUGCAAGACAGGUGUGAAAUCCCCGGGCCUAACCUGGGAACUGCAUUUGUGACUGCAUGGCUAGAGUUUGUCAGAGGGGGGUGGAAUUCCACGUGUAGCAGUGAAAUGCGUAGAGAUGUGGAAGAACACCGAUGGCGAAGGCAGCCCCCUGGGAUGAGACUGACGCUCAUGUACGAAAGCGUGGGGAGCAAACAGG
Molecule: ribosomal RNA, 253 nt
Filed under: uncultured bacterium
Lineage: Bacteria
Description: partial 16S ribosomal RNA
Rfam family: Bacterial small subunit ribosomal RNA
Source: RNAcentral